This 309-nucleotide long non-coding RNA is filed under the name Nicotiana benthamiana. RNAcentral's name for it is "long non-coding RNA (NBEN_LNC032217)". The record is from RNAcentral. Lineage: Eukaryota; Viridiplantae; Streptophyta; Magnoliopsida; Solanales; Solanaceae.
CAUCAGAUCCUUUUGAGAUUAGUUUAGGCCAAAAUUUUGUAUAAUGUCUUCUAAAUAAACAUGGUACUUCAUCUGAAUCUUUCCCUAAUUCAAUGGUCCAUUUGUAGAUCCAAGGAACAGAAAAUUCUAUAAAAAAAUUCAUAAUCGGAGUCUUUGGGUAUAAUCUGUCCUCUUUGUCCAAAUCCAUAAUCCUUGGCGAAAUCUCUACUCAUUGAUGAUAUAACUCUUUAAACUGUACUGGUAGUAUUCCUUGGGAAGGCCCGAAAAAGGACCACCAUUUAAUGAACCAACUUGGAAUCUGGGUANNNN